This 65-nucleotide transfer RNA is filed under the name Dipodomys ordii (Ord's kangaroo rat). It matches the Rfam family "tRNA". From Rfam's summary of the family: Transfer RNA (tRNA) molecules are approximately 80 nucleotides in length. Lineage: Eukaryota; Metazoa; Chordata; Mammalia; Rodentia; Heteromyidae. The record is from Rfam by way of RNAcentral.
GGUGGCUCAUUGGCAGAGUACUUGCCUUGCAUGCAUGAGGCCCUGGGUUCAAUUCCUCAGCACCA